This is a non-coding RNA of Macaca mulatta (Rhesus monkey), 1225 nucleotides long. Lineage: Eukaryota; Metazoa; Chordata; Mammalia; Primates; Cercopithecidae. The record is from RefSeq and is a predicted model, not a curated record.
UGUAGCUUACUUUAUUGUAAGAAUACAGAAUAUAAUACACAUGACAUAUAAAAUAUGUGCUGAUCAAUUGUUUGUGUUAUUACUAAGGCUUCCAGUCAAUAGUAGGCUAUUAGUGGUUAAAUUUUUGCAAAGUCAAAAAUCUUACAUAAAUCUACUACUGUGUAGGGGGUCAGCACCACUAACUCCCAUGUUGUUCAAGGGUCAGCUAGACACACAUGCACACAUAUAUGCACACACAUAUCUGUAUAUAACUUUUAAUCUUAUGUCUUUUGUAUUCUGGGCUUGGUUUGCAAUUCUAAAGUGAACGGAGAGCCAACUAUUUGUCAUAGAAAAGGAAAAAGAUGCUACUAAAAUCAACUUCAACUGCUUUAGCACCAAAGAGAGUAGCAUUACUUAUUCUUAGACUGAUACCUUUUUAUUUAAAUAAAAUAUGUUGAUAGAGAACUGUUGGUGCAAUGUUUGAGUGCUCAAGAGACUGGGUUGGAGAGAAACAAAGAACCUAAGUGAUAGCUUAUGUCCUCUGCAGGAGAAAUGAAGAGGGGUAAGGAGGAGAAAAAGUGAGAAUGAGACUGGCUUUCUGGAAGUCUGAGGAGACACGCUAGCCAGUGAGGAUUUCCUGUUAGUGGUGGUGACAGAAAGAAAUGAAAAAGAGGAGGAAUGUCUAACAUUUAAUUUUAAAUUGUUUCUUCAUGGUGUUACUAUUUAAUUUCCUUCAUCUCUCUAGGCCUUUGGCGAAGAUGAAUUUCCUUCAUCUCUCUAGGGCUUUCAAUGGAAAGAGGCCAUGUUCCCUGUCCGAGUAGACAAGGGGCCAGUGAAAAGAGAACAGAUAGGAAAGGCAUUCUACUUCUUGGAAGCAAUAUCCUUGGUUUGAUUGUGCGUAACACCAUCCUUGAAUUCUCUUUGUUAGAAAGAGCUUCUGUAUCAGCUGAGAAGGCCUCCAUUUGAGCCAACACUAUUCCCGAUCAGCCUUGUCUGAUCCCAGAAUGGCUCUUCUGAGAACAGGAAGGUUUUCAAUUCUUCCUACCACACCAACCAGUCUCAGAGAGAAACCAAAUCAACGAUCUGUCAGACUCCUACCGCACAUUAGAAGAAAACAAAUGAAACAAAUGUUUUGAAGAUGUCUCCAGAGGUGCCCAGUAGAAGGGAGUGGGAAUGGAGAUGUAAGCGAGGAAAUGGUCUGUUUUGUGCCUUGAAAUAAACAGAGUACUCUGAGUUCUGGCCUCGA